RNAcentral lists this ribosomal RNA (511 nucleotides) under uncultured bacterium. RNAcentral's name for it is "bacterial SSU rRNA". It matches the Rfam family "Bacterial small subunit ribosomal RNA", at positions 34 to 518 of the family's 1533-position model. The record is from RNAcentral.
CGCUGGCGGCGUGCCUAAUACAUGCAAGUCGAACGGUCUUUCUAUGGAAGCUUGCUUCCACUGAGAAGAUAGUGGCGAACGGGUGAGUAACACGUGGGUAACCUGCCCAUAAGAGGGGGAUAACAUCCGGAAACGGGUGCUAAUACCGCAUAGUUUUCUUGAUCGCAUGAUCGGGAAAGGAAAGACGGCCUUUGUGCUGUCGCUUAUGGAUGGACCCGCGGCGUAUUAGUUAGUUGGUGAGGUAAUGGCUCACCAAGACGAUGAUACGUAGCCGACCUGAGAGGGUGAUCGGCCACAUUGGGACUGAGACACGGCCCAAACUCCUACGGGAGGCAGCAGUAGGGAAUCUUCCGCAAUGGACGAAAGUCUGACGGAGCAACGCCGCGUGAGUGAAGAAAGGUUUUCGGAUCGUAAAACUCUGUUGUCAGAGAAGAACAAGUUGGAGAGUAACUGCUCCAGCCUUGACGGUAUCUGACCAGAAAGCCACGGCUAACUACGUGCCAGCAGCCGC